This is a non-coding RNA of Schizosaccharomyces pombe (fission yeast), 208 nucleotides long. The record is from the annotation of a GenBank genome assembly. Lineage: Eukaryota; Fungi; Ascomycota; Schizosaccharomycetes; Schizosaccharomycetales; Schizosaccharomycetaceae.
UAUGAGAUAUGACCGAUAUUCGACGAAAUAAUAAUUCAACAUUUACUUUCACGGUUUCGAACAGCUGGAUUCCCUGAGGAAUUGGCUUUCUUUGCUGCUUGGACCACCAGAAAACUUCAUCACGAACAUAAAGACUUAGAUACUGCUUUAUAUCAGUAGUAGGACUUGAUAGACUUUGCGCAAUGCUCAUUACUAAUCCCGAAAGUAA